This 101-nucleotide Y RNA is filed under the name Propithecus coquereli (Coquerel's sifaka). RNAcentral describes it as "Y RNA (ENSPCOG00000002943.1)". It matches the Rfam family "Y RNA". Rfam says of the family: Y RNAs are components of the Ro ribonucleoprotein particle (Ro RNP), in association with Ro60 and La proteins. Lineage: Eukaryota; Metazoa; Chordata; Mammalia; Primates; Indriidae. The record is from RNAcentral.
GGUUGGUCCAAGUGCGGUGGUGUUUACAACUAAUUGAUCACAACCCAGUUACAGAUUCCUUUGUUCCUUCUGCACUCCCAAUGCUUCACUUGACCAGAAGA